AUCCAAGGAAGGCAGCAGGCGCGCAAAUUACCCACUCCCGGAACGGGGAGGUAGUGACGAAAAAUAACAAUACGGGACUCUUUUGAGACCCCGUAAUUGGAAUGAGUACACUCUAAAUCCUUUAACCAGGAUCCAUCUGAGGGCAAGUCUGGUGCCAGCAGCCGCGGUAAUUCCAGCUCCGAUAGCGUAUAUUAAAGUUGUUGCGGUUAAAAAGCUCGUAGUUGGAUCUCAGUUCCAGACGGGCGGUCCGCCUACCGGUGGUCACUGCCUGUUCUGAACAGCCAGCCGGUUUCUCUUGAUGAUCUUCACCGGUUGUCUUGGGUGACCGGCAAGUUUACUUUGAAAAAAUUAGAGUGCUCAAAGCAGGCGCGACGCCUGGAUAAUGGUGCAUGGAAUAAUGGAAUAGGACCUCGGUUCUAUUUUGUUGGUUUACGGAACGCGAGGUAAUGAUUAAGAGGGACAGACGGGGGCAUUAGUAUUGCGACGCUAGAGGUGAAAUUCUUGGAUCGUCGCACGACUGACCACUGCGAAAGCAUUUGCCAAGAAUGUUUCCAUUAAUCAAGAACGAAAGUUAGAGGUUCGAAGGCGAUCAGAUACCGCCCUAGUUCUAACCAUAAACGAUGUCAGCCAGCGAUCCGGCUGUGUUCCUCAAAUGACACGCCGGGCAGCUUCCGGGAAACCAAAGCUUUUGGAUUCCGGGGGGAGUAUGGUUGCAAAGCUCAAACUUAAAGGAAUUGACGGAAGCGCACCACCAGGAAUGGAGCCUGCGGCUUAAUUUGACUCAACACGGGAAAGCUUACCCUGUCAGGACACAGGAAGGAUUGACAGAUUAAGAGCUCUUUCUUGAUUCUGUGGAUGGUGGUGCAUGGCCGUUCUUAGUCGGUGGAGCGAUUUGUCUGGUCAAUUCCGAUAACGGGCGAGACUCUAUCCUGCUAAAUAGGCGUCCCGAUCAUCUGCGUCGGGCGCUCUUCUUAGAGGGACAGGCGGCGUCUAGCCGCACGAGACAGAGCAAUAACAGGUCUGUGAUGCCCUUAGAUGUCCGGGGCCGCACGCGCGCUACAUUGAAGGAACCAGCGUGUGCUUUCCCUGUCCGACAGGACUGGGUAACCCGUUGAAACUCCUUCGUGCUGGGGAUAGGGGCUUGAUAUUGUUCCCCUUGAACGAGGAAUUCCCAGUAAGCGCGAGUCAUAAGCUCGCGCUGAUUACGUCCCUGCGCUUUGUACACACCGCCCGUCGCUACAACCGAUCGAAUGAUUUAGUGAGGUCCUCAGACUGGCUCCCGGAGCGGCCCUCGGGUCGCGCCGGCGUGCCGGAAAGAUGUCCGAACUUGAUCAUUUAGAGGAUGUAAA
RNAcentral lists this ribosomal RNA (1349 nucleotides) under Aorangia sp. CG136. Its description in RNAcentral is "SSU rRNA". It matches the Rfam family "Eukaryotic small subunit ribosomal RNA", at positions 414 to 1786 of the family's 1831-position model. The record is from RNAcentral. Lineage: Eukaryota; Metazoa; Arthropoda; Arachnida; Araneae; Amphinectidae.